Molecule: ribosomal RNA, 433 nt
Filed under: uncultured bacterium
Lineage: Bacteria
Description: partial 16S ribosomal RNA
Rfam family: Bacterial small subunit ribosomal RNA
Source: RNAcentral
AACGAACGCUGGCGGCAGGCCUAACACAUGCAAGUCGAGCGCGCCCUUCGGGGUGAGCGGCGGACGGGUGAGUAACGCGUGGGAACGUGCCCUUUUCUACGGAAUAGCCUCGGGAAACUGAGAGUAAUACCGUAUACGCCCUUUGGGGGAAAGAUUUAUCGGAAAAGGAUCGGCCCGCGUUGGAUUAGGUAGUUGGUGGGGUAAUGGCCUACCAAGCCGACGAUCCAUAGCUGGUUUGAGAGGAUGAUCAGCCACACUGGGACUGAGACACGGCCCAGACUCCUGCGGGAGGCAGCAGUGGGGAAUCUUAGACAAUGGGGGCAACCCUGAUCUAGCCAUGCCGCGUGAGUGAUGAAGGCCUUAGGGUUGUAAAGCUCUUUCAGCUGGGAAGAUAAUGACGGUACCAGCAGAAGAAGCCCCGGCUAACUCCGUG